Molecule: non-coding RNA, 27 nt
Filed under: Rattus norvegicus (Norway rat)
Lineage: Eukaryota; Metazoa; Chordata; Mammalia; Rodentia; Muridae
Source: RNAcentral
UCUCUGAUUCACCAAGGGAGGGUUGGC